RNAcentral lists this ribosomal RNA (270 nucleotides) under uncultured bacterium. RNAcentral describes it as "partial 16S ribosomal RNA". It matches the Rfam family "Bacterial small subunit ribosomal RNA", at positions 84 to 354 of the family's 1533-position model. The record is from RNAcentral.
CCCGCCGGCGACCGGCGCACGGGUGAGUAACACGUAUGGAACCUGCCCGCAGCAGGGGGAUAAGCGGAAGAAAUUCCGUCUAAUACCGCGUAACACCGCAGAGGGGCAUCCCUCGGCGGUUAAAGAUUCAUCGGCUGCGGAUGGCCAUGCGGCGCAUUAGCUAGACGGCGGGGUAACGGCCCACCGUGGCGACGAUGCGUAGGGGUUCUGAGGGGAAGGUCCCCCACACUGGUACUGAGACACGGACCAGACUCCUACGGAAGGCAGCAG